Oncorhynchus tshawytscha (Chinook salmon) is the source of this 1908-nucleotide long non-coding RNA. The record is from Ensembl. Lineage: Eukaryota; Metazoa; Chordata; Actinopteri; Salmoniformes; Salmonidae.
AGCGUCUGUCACAGACCAGAGGAACAGGCAUGGAGAUCUGAGGAAAAAGAGCAUGCAGCACUACUGGACCGAAGCUUGAAGAGGGGUCAGACAGAGCGGGGGUAGCGCCACUUCGGACAGCACGGGGUGCCCUGCCUCUCUCACCUGGCCAGACCCACUGGCUCUCUACGGACCCCUGCUGCCCCUGCUACCUGGAUACAGACCAGACAUAGCAGCUUCUUCAACAAGCCAGAGGAGCUUUGGAGGGGAGUUCUGGCGGAGACUGGCGCCGGAGCUCGGAAGGGUCGAGGGAAGAGGACCAAGAGGAAGAUGAAGAAAAAUCUGAACUGAGGCCAGAACAUCGGAGAAGUGGUUGAAGUGCUGUCUACUCCCCUCCUAAUCAGUGCCCCAUCUGUCCCGUCUGUCCUGGUCUCUCUGUAACGACUAUUCUUCAGACAGUCUGUAAGGGCAUCGGGGGGUUCCUGUGGCUGGGGUUGAACGCAGCCCAUCCUGAAGAGUGGGGCCAUACAGAACAUGUCCUGCCGUGUGGAGUCGGAGCAACAGGAACUGCAGGGGGAGCUUCUGCGGCAGCGUGACGAAUGAGAUCGCAGGAGGAAGAUGAGGGUGAAGAGGGAGCGAGGGUGGACUGGCAUCAGUCUGGGGCCCCCUGACCCUGGACCCAACGGAGUUUACCAUGACAUCAACUCCACCUUCAAGAGGACCACCCUACUCAUGAAGAAACAGCACCGAGGGGUGGUAGAGCAUUUUGGGGCGGCAGGAUAGCCUAGUGGUUAGAGCGUUGGACUAGUAACCGAAAGGUUGCAAGUUUGAAUCCCUGAGCAGACAAGGUUACGGACUACACUGUCACCGCGCGGUCAUCACCAUCUGUAAGCUGAUUGGUGUAGAGGACAUGUACGCCAAGGAAGAGGGCUCCGUCAACCUGCUCAACAUCACCAUGGCUCUGUUCACCAGACUGGCCAAUCAGAGACCCAACAGUUUCUGGCUGGUGAGUUUCAGCCGGAGCGCGGGCCCCUGCCCCUCAUCGUGGCCACCCCUAAGAAUGGAGUGCAUCCUGACCACAAACCCGAGGAAGAGACAGGACAUGAAACGCAUGACAGGGCAUGUGACGUUGUCGAAAAUGAGAGCUGUCUAAUAAAAAUGUAAACUCUCCAAAAUGGCUUGUGUUGUGUGCAAUUGCUUUUGAAGGAGCUGUCAGGACAUGUCAUGCUUUGAUGACAGUUAUAGUGAUCAUUUCCUCAGCAGCUGUCCACUGCUCGCUCCGGAGGCUCUUGCUGCUUUAGCUUUUCAGUUCAUUUCCGCCUACAUUCCAGUAUGCAACUACUAACAGUCACCACCUUCCACAAGCAGCAAGAAAACGAAACAAUGCAGCAAGAAAAUAGCAUCAAACAACUCAAGAGCUUUAAACAGUGAAUGACGUUGUAAAGUCAAAGUAUACAUUUCUGCUGUACUUUUCCGUACUCUGACUUUCCAUGUUAUCUCUCCUUGACUCUAUUUUCAGACUCUAAUGGUCCCUUUAGUCAACUUAUGAGUUAUUAACAAUUAUGUGUCCUGUUUACCUCAACUUGGCAACCCCUUGGCAGGGAGUCUCUAGUUUGUAGUCUGAAGAAGCAUUAAUUCAGACAUGAACAGCUCUCCAAAAAGGGAUCCUUCCAAUAGUGCUGUCUGUCUUAAGCCAGACAGGCCAGACAGGCAUUUAUUUCAAUAGUGUUCUCUUAAUAUGGUCUUGAACUUGAUGGUUGAACUAAUGGUAGGAUUCAAACUAAGUAGUUCUUUGAAGACUUUCAGCUGAAUGGUUUGUGCAGUACAGGUGUAAUGUGUUAUGUGACAUCUCCACCACUUGGGGGUGCUAUUAGCACCUGAUAUUCAGGCUUCUUAUAUUGUUAACCCUUAUUAUGGAUAAAAUGUGGA